CAACCACAUAUAUUUUUUUUUCCGUUUUAUGUGUCAAAAUGCAGACGAUUAAGCGGCCUCCUCUUUGUGCAUCUCUAAGGUCUAGAAUGAGGAACCUUCCUGAAAUGGACCCUAAUGAAAUUGUCCUCAAAUGGCUCAAGAGAAACAAAGAUGCACUACCCUUCAAAACAACCCCACAGCUACAGGUAUCUAACCAGAGAAAAAAAGAAUCUCAGGUCAAGGCCACUGAGGAAAACCCCAGGAUCAAGUAGCCAGGGCAUAUACAAGGUUUCAGUCCUCAGCCACGUUCCUGAAAUGAACCAGCCUCACCUGCGGAGCCUCUCAAUUCCAGGCAUUCUAUUGGUCCUUUUUAGCACCCUAAUUAAAAAGGCUAAAUGGGGUGGCUCCUCCACUCAUGAAAAUCAUCUCUGAAGCAGCACUGAAACCUUUGAACAAAGAGCCGUUUAUCCAGCACAAUAGAACUUUGAUAUCUGAAAUGCUUUAAAAAAUCCAUUCCCAUUCCUGAGGAAAUUAACUUGCCAGGUUGGGUUUCAGGCAACUAACCUUCCUUAUUUUAUUCCUGUAUAAU
Long non-coding RNA from Hipposideros armiger (great roundleaf bat), 568 nucleotides. RefSeq lists it as uncharacterized. The transcript is spliced from 3 exons. Lineage: Eukaryota; Metazoa; Chordata; Mammalia; Chiroptera; Hipposideridae. The record is from RefSeq and is a predicted model, not a curated record.